This 447-nucleotide ribosomal RNA is filed under the name uncultured bacterium. Its description in RNAcentral is "bacterial SSU rRNA". It matches the Rfam family "Bacterial small subunit ribosomal RNA", at positions 331 to 795 of the family's 1533-position model. The record is from RNAcentral.
CCAGACUCCUACGGGAGGCAGCAGUGGGGAAUAUUGCACAAUGGGGGAAACCCUGAUGCAGCGACGCCGCGUGAAGGAAGAAGUAUUUCGGUAUGUAAACUUCUAUCAGCAGGGAAGAAAAUGACGGUACCUGACUAAGAAGCCCCGGCUGACUACGUGCCAGCAGCCGCGGUAAUACGUAGGGGGCAAGCGUUAUCCGGAUUUACUGGGUGUAAAGGGAGCGUAGACGGCAGUGCAAGUCUGGAGUGAAAGGCGGGGGCUCAACCCCCGGACUGCUCUGGAAACUGUACGGCUGGAGUGCAGGAGAGGUAAGUGGAAUUCCUAGUGUAGCGGUGAAAUGCGUAGAUAUUAGGAGGAACACCAGUGGCGAAGGCGGCUUACUGGACUGUAACUGACGUUGAGGCUCGAAAGCGUGGGGAGCAAACAGGAUUAGAUACCCUCGUAGGC